RNA transcript from Alexandromys fortis (reed vole), 9259 nucleotides. RefSeq lists it as uncharacterized. The record is from RefSeq and is a predicted model, not a curated record. NCBI's taxonomy places the organism in Eukaryota, Metazoa, Chordata, Mammalia, Rodentia, Cricetidae. The transcript has 2 exons.
CACUCGCACGCGCGCGCACACACACACAUUCACACACACCCUCUCCCCUCCCCCGCUGCCCAAAGGUGUCUCGGAGGAAAAAGCCCGGGGUCCACGCUCCCCCCCCCCACCCCGGUCUUUCUGAGGUCCAGCUUUUACUGCAUUCCGCUUAACCGAAUAACCAUGCUAAUUAAGCGAGUAAUUUUAUUGAUUGUAACUCAAGAGUUUUUUUUUUUUAAAUAACCUUCCUUUUCUCCUCUCUCCCAUCCCCCCCAUGCGUCUUUCAGUCCAUUCUUUUGAAUGUCGUCCCCCGACUCAGCCCCAGCGGGACCGGCCCCCACCCUUCAGCAUUGUGCCACAACCCCAGACUGGCGUCCCGGAACCCCGGGCGCCCCUCGACCGCCACUGGCAUCACCUGGGCCGCUACGCCGCAGUGCCUGGCCUGCUGUCCCCGAGCCGGGAGCUUCCUGGUGAGGCUGGAACAAUCACCCCGCCCCCCAACCAAAUUCGCCCAGGAUCUUCCUCUGCGGAUUGGGGCUUUUGGGGGAGGGGGCUCAGAGAGUCAGAAAUUGUUUUCUCUCGGCCUCCCAAAUCGGCCACGACGUUUCUCCAUUCAGCGCCUGCCCUGGAUCACCUAACCAAGGUUGGUCUCUGCAUGGCACCCUGGUCGACCCUGCGGGGAAGGAGCAGAGACCAAGCAAGGCGCAGCUUUCUCCUGGGUCUGGGUCCCAGCAGACCCUGGUCCUCCGUCUUCCCUCCCCACCUCUGGCAAGGCCGACUUAAAAUGAUCCUCCUCUCCCUUUUCUUCUACCCCUCCCAUUGUGAAAUGUCUACUCCAGGGCGAAAUCGCAGGCAAUUUCAAACUCUUGAGAGGAGCAACCGAGCAAACGGUAUAAACUGUACACCACCAUGCACGUGCGACCAAAGUCCCUCGGCCCUCCUCCAUUUCGAAGACUUCUUUCCUUAUUUCCAAAUACGCAUUGUUUUAAUGCUUGACCUCAGCUCCAGCAGAAGGGAGGUAUUCGUAAUUGUGAACUUUACAGAAAAUCAAAAUCUUUUUUUAAGCCAUCCCACCGUGACAACAAAGCGAUUAAGAUGUUUUGUAUUUCGUAAAUACCAUUUAAAUUGCUAUAUUUUAUGCUCUGGGUUCUACAUUGUCUUAUUUGCACACUAUUUUGUGUCUGAUUUAAUCUAUAACCGAAAACAUAAUGUAUUAAGUGAAUACAUAUUUGCUCAGGUGAUAAGCUUUUUUUAAUAUUUAUUCGGAGAAUUUUGCAUGGUAAAUAAACGACACUACACAAAGACUUCCCUUUGUGCUCAAACUGCAUACAAAGGGGUUUGGGGCUCUCUUCCCUCUGGGGAGUUUCACUCUCCCCGGGUCCAACAAAUAAACUCUCCUCUCCACCGCGCCGGCCUGCUCAGCGAUCGCCAGGGUGCGGAAGGCGCAGGCAAGGCCGAGGCUCUAAGCUGGCGCCGGGGUCAGGGGAGGGGCUACCCAGGGCCGGUGAGGGACUUGCGCGCCCCUACCCAGGCCGGCGCCUCUCGAACCCGGGAGGGCGCAGAGGAGGACAAAGGGAAAGAAGGAAGGGGAGGGAGGUCAGGAACCUGCCGCUUCAAAGGCGCCGAGGGCCGGAGUGGGGUCGGAGGCUGCGAGCGCGGUACAAGGCUUCACGACGGCCUCCGGGGAGUCGUGUGCGCUGGGCUUUUGUUCUGGGCCCCCACCCCCAGUAAGACAUUUCAAAGUAGGAGCGAAAAGUGGGGGCUGCAAGCGAUUCUCGGGACGCGGGCUUUGAGCUCACGCUGGAGCGGCUUUACUCUCCACCCCCUGCGGGCCGAUCGCUGGCUCGCUGGUGCCUUUCUCACCAGCCCGCUAGACUUUCUGCGCCAACAAGGGCUGGAUUAUGUCGCCAGGACCCGCCGCUGCGCUUCUGGACGGACUGGAGGGGACUUUUCUUUGUGUUCUGUUCUGCUCGAGAACUGCCGCGCCGCCCUGGGCUGCUCGCGCCCUGGGCCUGGGGAAGCCAGCGGCUCGGUAACGGGACGAGGAGGGGCAGCCACCGGGGCCACAGUGCGAGGGCCGAGGCCCGGAGCUGCGAUGCAGCAAUUCGCGAGUCCCGAGGCUCCGAGGUCUCCACGCGCCCAGUCUCAGGGCCGGACACCGCAAUGGACCCCGGAAUAAAAAGAAACAGCCUCGCGCCGUCCAGAUGCCCUGUCCACUCCUGGCGUCCGUCUGGCAGGUGGCGGAACCUGGGUGCAAGAAGGCCCAACUUCCAAGCGCAGAGGCCGGAUUGCCUUGCUGUCCCUCCACCCGCAGGCCGCCACUCACUCGGACCCGAGCCGGAGAAAGCACUUGGGUCUGAGGCGUGGCCACACUGACUCCGUAAAUGCUCGCCUGGCCCUUCCUCCGUCUGCCCGAGAGGCAGCGAGAUGAACCUUUCUAUCUGUCCGCUCUCGGUUUUAUCUCCCUCUGCCACACUCUCUGCAGCGCAGCAACAAUCGAAAUGAAAAUCGAGGCUCCCGUUGCUAAGAUAAGGAUUUACUUUUUUCAUCAGCUCCUAGAUUUUAAAAAUAUCUUCAUUUGGUAAUUUUAGGGGUGGUUGUCAUGGUGUGAAAACCGUGCUUAGCAUUUCUUACCUUCUGUCCUUCCAUUUUCGCACUACAAAGGAAAACAGCCUCCAAACAAUUCUCUUUAUCAUAAUCUGAACCAAACCACCUUUUUAAAUAUUCUGCAAGCAAAUAUUCCGGUUAGAAUUUGGUUGCCUACCCAAAUGUUAUUUAUUUUCAGGAAGCAGAGGUGAUGUCUUAGUGGCGAUGAGUACAUAAUUCUGCUCCUCUUUUUCCGUGUGUGUUGGGGGGAGGGUAUUUAAGUAGAUGCCAAGCGACACAGCCAGACUCCUUUGAAUUUUUCCAGUCUCUUUCCGGCGCGGGCACAAAGGAGUUAAACCCGAGCGCUGUGGCCGCCACUUUUUCCCCGCCUCCCUCGCUUCUGCGGAACCGCCACGAUUGGUUGGCACUGUGCCAACGGGCUGUCCAUCACCAAGUGUAAACAAGGCGCUGAUUGGCUGUUAUCCAGUCCGCACAGGGCCUUCUGAAAAAAGCAAUUACUGGCUCCGAGGUUUCAAGGCUGCCCAAGGCCGCUUGAUGAAAGGAGAUAAACCGGGGACCGUUUCCAGGAUCCCCGCGGGCCGACCCAGGCGGCGGCUCCAGAGCCGAGGUGCGACGGAGAGCCCGGGGAUCAAAGGCAGCAGAAGAGAAAGGGGAAGCGGGCGCACCGCCGGGCCGGCCUGGCCCCCUGCGGGCCGAGCUGACCUGGGGUGGGGGCGGCGGGCGGGGACUCCGGGAUUUCCCGCCUGUUCGGGACGGGGGCUCGGCCGGCGCCCGCCCGCUGCAGGUAAGCCCGGGUCUCCGCGGGCUGCGCCGGGGCGCCGGACGGGGCGCGCGAGCCUGGCUGCAGGAUUGGCCAGCGCGGUGGCCGUGCGGCGCGCCGGGGAGCACGGGCUGCGGGGAGGCGCAGCUCCUGGAGAUCCGGUUCGCGCGCGGCUGUGCACGGUGCGAUUGAAUCAGGCCGGCCUGGGCGGGAUGGGUGCGGACGCCAGCUCGCGGUGGCGCGGCGGUGACCCGACGGCGAGCACAGGUCUGGCCGGGCUUGAGGUGAGCUUCGUUGCUCCAGUCCCACUCGGCAGCGGCGGCGAGCAGCCGUUUCCCGCUUCGCACGCAGGCGGAGCAGCUUCCCGGCUCGGGAGAAACCGCUGCGGCCAUCCCUGUUCCCUCCCGGUCGGUGCGGGCAUCCCUUAUCCAAGCCCUAGAUUAUCUGCGAGGUUUGGAAUCUCGAGUUCCUCAUUUUCCUUACCUCAUCUUGUUUUCUGAUCCAGGAGUCUUUAUAUCUAUCUAACUAUCACCCUAUUGAAAGUAGUCUCCGUCGCCCCAUCCCCCCCAAAGAAGAAAAGUCUAAAAAAAAAUUGGAUCCUGUAGCGAUAACCGCAUGGUGAGCCUCCGGGCCGCUGCCAGCUCGGGGGGGGGGGGGGGGCGGGUACCCGGUAGGCCGGCGUGGGGGAGGGGCGCGCCCAGCUAGCUCCGCACCCCACCCUCCCACUACGCACAGCCGGGUCGCCCUGGCCGGACCGGAAAGAUCCCUGAGCCUCGGAUCUACCCCCCUUCCUCGGCGGGUGGAGACUGGCAGAUGGGCACACCGGUAAUCCAGCCGUAUUCCAGAAAUUCUAGACAUGGAAGCAUGUGGCUUCUUUUCCUCCGCAAGCCGCUUUAGAAUCUUGGGGAUCCCUAAUCUCCGGAUCCCUAAAAGUCAGGCAUGAGGAUUUGUCUCCAACACCCUCACGUGCUCCCCCCCCCCUUCUGUGUGGCUUCCUUGAGAGCCUCCCCGGGUGUGAAAGGCCUCGGCUCCUAGCUGUCUUGCUCCCACCUCUGUGUCCUUUCUAACCCCAGCGUUCACUUAAGUGUGGUGGCCCUUUUUCCUCCUCCUCUCAACACUGUUUCAAAAUAAUUGUUACAGCGAAUAGCUGCCGAUGCGCCUCUGGAUGCCGCCAGCAGCUGGCAGCUGCCCAGCGCGGGCGCACAGCCCCCGGCAGUUCCACAAGACCUAAAUAAGCUCCCGUGUUCCUCUCGCAGGGCUCGGCCUCCCGGGCGGGCCCGGGCAUGUUUGGCUGGGUUCGCUAUCUGCUCAGAGCAAACCAUCCUGGUUUUCCUACUUGACUUCCUGCUGUCCGAAACUAACAAGUGUUUUUAAUUUUAGAAGAACAUGGCGUGAGGAUCGGGGUCCAUCUAGAGCAGUGGUUCUCAACCUUCCUAAUGCUGCCGCCCUAUAAUACACAAUUCAUGUAUAACGAUAAAAUGAUUAUCGUUGCUACUUCGUCACUGUAGUUUUGCUACUUUCAUGAAUCGUAAUGUAAAUGUUUUUGGAGUUAGAGGUUUGCCAAAGGGGUUGUGACCCACGGGUUGAGGACGCUGUUUUAGAGGCAGAGGAAUGGGGAGGGUUAGAAAGAGAGGCAGGAUUACAACCCAGAGAUCUCCGCACUGAGGGCUACGAAUCUGUGGAAUCGCCUGAAGUUUUAAAAAAUUGUGCAGCCACAGAUGCCCAGUCGCCAACCCAGGACACAAUAGCCUCUGAAUGCCUGGGCCACCUCCAGAGCCUGGCUGAUACCCACCAUAGUUUCCUCUAAGCUAGGGUGCCCUACAUAGCCAGCCGUGUCCCGGUACUGGGCACAGCCAUUCACACAUCAAGCAAUAGUGCAGUUUUAAACGUGUGCUCAGUCUACAUGCACGUUCUGCGGGCUCCCAUCCAUGUCCAGAUAUACCACAGAAUGGGCCCUGGCACCCAUGUGCGUCUCACACCACGCUCACUACAUUUGUGUGCACACAGAAAAGCAAGCUGGCAGGGUGGCUCAGCAAGCUAAGGCACUGGCCAAGCCUGACCACCUGAGUUAGAUCCGGGGGUUGCCCGAUACCCCGUGGUAGAAGGAGAGAGCUGACUCCUGUAGGGUUUUGGGGUUUUUUUGGUUUUGUUUUUGUUUUUUUUUGCUGACCUCAUGCUCACACCAUGGGUGCAGGCAGGCCAGCAGCAUGCACACACACACACACACACACACACACACACAAAUAAAUGUAAUGUAGAAGGACAGUGUGGUUCUCACACACUGACACACAUCACACACGUGUGCAUGCUCUCCAUGUUACAACCAACCGGACUGGACUGUAGCAACCCGGUACCCACAAACCCUGGUCCCUCCUCCAGCGUUCCCCACUGCCCCUGCAAGGCUGGAGCCUGGAAGCAGGCUUGGCCUCCCAGCUCCCAAAUGACCCAGAGCCUAUCUACGGUGUGAACUCAUUGAAUAAAUAAUCACUUUUUAAUACAAGGGGGUGGGGGUUUAUCUCGAGUUACAUAAAAUUGUGAAUUAGUCGCUGCUCCAAAUAAAUGCGUCCUUGGGCCGGAGAGCAGCGGAGCUGCAUGCAGGGUAAUUGUGUGUUGGGUGUCUUUCCAUUGUUCCCUGGGCCAUUAGUCAAAGGGCAAAUUAGAAACAAUUUCUUGACGACAAAAAAAAUUGACUCUUAAUUCUUCCCACAGAAGUGGAAGGGACAGGUCCCGAGGCCUAAGGCUGAAGCCUGGUCUGGAGGGUCAGGGGGCCCAGAGGGAGAGGGAACCUGGAGCUGGGUUUUGGAAUAGCGUGCAGGUUGGACCAGGCCAGAGAAGGAUGGAACUGGGGGCGGGGGGCGGGUCCUAGCAUCUGUUUCUCAGUGAGAUGACAGUCAAACUCCAUCCAUCUAGAAUCAGGGAUAGAAAGGAUGGCUGAGAACAUUGGGGUUUUACACUCUUCUCAAAGGGGUCAAAUGUAAAAGCUUCCUGAGGUCCUGGAUCCAUGAAGAUCCUCUACCAUGUCAAGGUCUGACUAGAAGGAAUACGGCAGAGGAAGGUCUGAGUGUGGCCAAGUACGUUCCUAACCAUGAAUCCUACCUGGGUCACCCAAAGGUACCUGCUGGUGCUCUGUGCCUGGGAGUAUGGGUGGCCUCUUGUUUGCUAGGUCUUCUGUCUUUGAGGCAUACGGUUUGUGCACAGACUUGACUGGAAGGAGAGAAGCAAGUUGGGGUGUCCCGACCCCAAGAUGAACGUUCUUCCCCAAAGGAUACUUCAAACAGCCCAUUUAUUUAGCUGGAGCAAGAGGUGUUGCCCUGCCCUGGGGGGGGGGAUAUUCCAGCCACACACACACCCAGCUCCUGUCCCCUCCCAGCUGGAGAAGGAACGAAACAGAGAAGCCGAAAAGGAAGAUUUGCAGGAUCCUGUUGCUGAGUGUCCCUGUUCUCCGCACACCUCUGGAGGCCUGGCUGUGCCCCCAGAUAACAUCGACCCUGAGGCAUUUCCCUGACACCGCUCCAAGCCCAGCCAGGAACUUCGCUAAAUUGAAGCUGGCUCAAGCCGGAAGGACCCCUGUGGGAGGCACAGGUUUUCCCUUGAAGGCCAUAGAUAGAUCAAGACCUGCUCCUAAGUUUUAAAAAGCCAGGAGAGAGAAGCCCCAGACCAUGCUGAAGUCAGAUAAACAGCUUCUCCAGCCUCUGCAGCUUCCUCCCAGGGAGGUUUAAAUUCUGUUGUUGCUGAUUUCCUCCAACCGGGUCAGGAGGCUGCCCAGCCCCCUCCCUGCACAGGAAAGGUGCUUGUUAAACACAGUCGUAAUUUGUGGCUAAAUAUAACCCAGUGUGUUCACACGGAAAGCAUAAUUCAGAGGGCUCGUUGCGUGAGGUUAUCAGUGAGGAGACCCAUCUGGGUUAAAUUAAAGUGAUUUUCAUAAGGAGCAGAAGCAUCUAUUGCUUCUCUGGGCCCUUUCACUGGUGAUAGUGUGAUAUCUGCAGUGAAGGGACCGGAGGAAGGUGGGCGGACGCCCCGCACCCCAGGCCUGAACCCUGGGCCUCCCAUUAGAGGUCUCUUCAUCCAAGGCCGGCUGUGGCUUCUGCUAAGCCUGCGAAGGUUCUGGAGGAACAGGCAGGCUUUGGGGCGUGGGAGGAGAUCUUUGGGGGUCUGGUAAAUAAGAAGUGAUGGAUUUUCCUGUUAGGUUGACCCAAGUAGCCCUCAGUCUUGGCAGUGAGGGUCACUCCCUGCCGCCAUAGCCCAGGAGGGAAAGCCCGGAUAAUCGGAGAGAUUCUCAAUAAUAGGUCAGGAUGGCUGAGUGACUGAAACAACCUUGCUUAGGGACAAGUGCCUGGUCAGUCAGUCUUUGUGUUCCUUCCAGGUAUAUCCCCCAAGGUGAAGCCGGCUUCAGGCUCUCAGACCGACACCUGCUUCCUCUGCUGGCUGCGCCAGGCCUGGCUUUGAAGGAGGUACAGUGGCUACAGGAUUACAGGCUUCAGCUGUGUGCAGAUGUGUUCACGCAGGUCAAACGGCAGGGUAUGUCUGGAGCACCUCUCCGGAGCUAAAUUUCCGCUGCCUGGGCUCACAGGGACAGGGAAACCAGAGGAAGCUCGGACCUCUUCUAGGCCCUAGGAAACACAUGCAGGCCAAGUGUCAGGGACUCCUCGGACCCAGGGUUUGCAGGAGUCACAGCCCCCAGGCCCUCCUCACUACCCUGUUCCUUCAACAGGCCCUCUACUCGCUUCCUUUCAAGUUCCCAUUACUGUGAAAGCCCAACUUUAACUGACUUCCCCACCGCCAUUUCUGCCCCACAAAGGGGACCCGUUGGGAGAACCCACAGCCAUGAGGCUCUCCUGUUGUUCUAGCGCUCUUGCCUCUCUCUCUACCCCCAGUUGUCUGGUGGUGAUUCCCUCUUUGGGCCUGGGACUUGACACCUGGCAGAAGACCCCACCACCAGUACUAUAAGACACACUGUGCACCUUCUCCCUGAUUUCUGGGGAGAUUUGAGCCCUUGGCCUGGUUACCUAAAAUAUAAGCCAAAUAAAAAUUUCCCUCCAAGUUACCUCUGAGCAUCAGGAUCUGUCUCAAGCCUGGAGGCAGCUGGGCCCCCUGACUGCUGGCUCCUGGCUGGAGUGUGGCAUGGCCACCGCCUCUUUUGUUAACAGGACAGUUGAUCCAUUAAAUUAAAAAUCAGUCAGUAGAUCAUUUUUUCCUAACGUGCAAAAACACACUCCACCCUAAUUCUGAGACAUUAAUGCCAGUGGAGGCAGGAGACUACCAUGGGACAAUACCACAAGUGGCCCCCAAAGUAAACUACCAGGAUAACCUCUUCACCAGAAUCCAGGUUGACCUGAGGAACCCGCCUCAGGGCCAGGGCCAUCGCCUAGCGCCCCCGUUCCCCCAUGCACUUUCUAGCGUAUUCCACUUGGGCAGACACUGAAAUGCGGGGUUCAGAGGUCUGUGUCACCCCCAGUGUGGUUGGUACUGGGAAUCCAACAUGAGGCCCCUUGCUGCUUCCCUGCACACUAGAAGCACAGACACAAUUGUGGGGGUGGGAGUUGGCAGGGUUGUUGUCUUCCCACCGGGUUUUUAAGUAGCAAGAUUUUUAGAUGCAAGCACACAAACAAAAAGCCUCCUGAGGUGGUUGGUAAAAAUUCAAAGCCUCUACAUCCGAGGCCGAAACAAAAGCUCUUUGAAAGUGCCGCUGCGGAGAUGGAGCGCUUCUCGGAUCUCGUGGAGCCAUCCGCCCGGGACCCGCAUCCGGAGAAGGAGCGGGCAGGCGCGGGUGUCCCCACCUGCUCACCGCUCAGUCCUGUCCCCGAGAAGAGGAAAGCGGCCAGAGGCACCAUAACCACAAAUUUAUGGCCUAGGUGACGUGCUUCCCUCUCCCACAAUGGGGCCUGGUGACAUUAAACAGAAAAUUGAUGGGAA